GAUGAACGCUGGCGGCGUGCCUAAUACAUGCAAGUCGAGCGAACAGAUGAGGAGCUUGCUCUUCUGACGUUAGCGGCGGACGGGUGAGUAACACUUGGAUAACCUACCUAUAAGACUGGGAUAACUUCGGGAACCCGGAGCUAAUACCGGAUAAUAUAUUUAACCGCAUGGUUCAAUAGUGAAAGACGGUUUUGCUGUCACUUAUAGAUGGAUCCGCGCCGCAUUAGCUAGUUGGUAAGGUAACGGCUUACCAAGGCAACGAUGCGUAGCCGACCUGAGAGGGUGAUCGGCCACACUGGAACUGAGACACGGUCCAGACUCCUACGGGAGGCAGCAGUAGGGAAUCUUCCGCAAUGGGCGAAAGCCUGACGGAGCAACGCCGCGUGAGUGAUGAAGGUCUUCGGAUCGUAAAACUCUGUUAUUAGGGAAGAACAAAUGUGUAAGUAACUAUGCACGUCUUGACGGUACCUAAUCAGAAAGCCACGGCUAACUACGUG
This 497-nucleotide ribosomal RNA is filed under the name uncultured bacterium. RNAcentral's name for it is "partial 16S ribosomal RNA". It matches the Rfam family "Bacterial small subunit ribosomal RNA", at positions 28 to 507 of the family's 1533-position model. The record is from RNAcentral.